Molecule: non-coding RNA, 86 nt
Organism: Rhodocollybia butyracea
Lineage: Eukaryota; Fungi; Basidiomycota; Agaricomycetes; Agaricales; Omphalotaceae
Source: the annotation of a GenBank genome assembly
GCCCGCCUAGCUCAAUCGGAUAGAGCGUCAGACUUUUAAAACUUAGGGCAAUCUGAAGGCUGCGAGUUCGACCCUCGCGGUGGGCU